AUGGCUGCCAAACAACAAAGACAUCCUCGCUGGUGUGUUGACUCCAGAAGGUCUAGUGAGGCACGAGCCCUGCCAGCUUUCACAGCUACAGAAGGAGACGAGAACCACUGUUUAAUGUCAUCCAGUCACAUAAAACAUAAAUAUGUCCUGGCGGAGGUAUGCAAAGUACUCGCCUUACUUCCUCUGCUACGCCAGCUCAGAAUGUGUUGUGCUGCUGCAGUAAAAAUGGUCAAACUACUGACUGUCAGAUCUGGGGCGUACCUCUCCUAUCUUACACUGUCUGUCUUUUCCCUUGGAUUUCCAUCUGUUCUCUGCAGGGAGCAAGAAAGCCUCACUCUAAACCCAGGAGUAAGAGCUCAAGCCUUCUGGAAGCAAAGCUCAAUUGCCAGCCUCCAGAACAAGCCAAAAAAAAAAAGUUAUGGUGAGUUAUCUACAAGCCUCAUUAAGCACGAGAGAAUCCAAUGGCUCCCCAGAUAUUCGUGGGAGAGCGUGAGGCUGGAUUCAAACCACUCCUGGGACAAGCACUGACCAGAUUGUGGUGCCUGAAGUGUUUUCCAGCCACCCCUGUGAGUAUACCUUACAUACACAUAAAUAUCAGCUUCGUGUUGGAUCCAUGUCCAGAGGAGGGAAGUGAAAGAGAAGCAAGCCAUGCCUUUUCAGACGAGCUCAUGGCUUUUAGCAGUCUCCCUUCACACACUGCUUACAGCAGCCUGGCUGAUAGGGAAAGAAAGAUCCCAAGAAAGCCCUGCCAUCCGGAGGAACUCAGCCGCCUCCAUAAGCAAUGUAAGCACAGCUGUGCUUUGCAGUAGCAAAUGCCAGCCAUGCAACUGAUCGCACAGUUAAAACAGGCUGCAGCAGCAAUGCACCAAUGCUGUGUAAAUGGCUGGACGUGCAAGCUCAUGUCAUACUGCCAGCUACUUGUAGCCCCCUGCCUGAUGGAUGUGUGGGUGGCUUAUACCUGGUGAAUGCAGUCACUGAGCUGGGCUCUCACACACACUUUGCACCUUGCUAAGGAACUGCCUGGUAUGGCUGGGUCUUCUGUUCUCCAGCCCCGUGGAGAGCAGCCAACGCAUCUUGCCCUGCAUUUCAUAGGGAUGUUUGUGGAAACAAGUGACACUGGGGUACAAGUUUUGCUGUGGGCUAUAAGAGAACAUGAAAAUUGAGCCAAACUGAUUCAAGCCAAACUUGUUACGAGUGAAUGUUUCCUCAGAGGACAGAGCUGUCAAGCAGAAGGUCUCUUGGAGAACAGGAGAAACCUCUUUUGACUCACACCAUCUGCCAGAAAGGAUGAAAUACUGGAAGGAGUUUGAGAAUGACAUGCGGGUAUUCCCAGCACUGCCAUGGUGAUUUUGUGUGACCUAGGUGCAGUGGUUUGGCCCCUCUUUGAACCGUAAGCUUUGCCUGCCCUCCCAAGGCAGAGAUGACAGGAAUGCCGGUGGUUUCACCCCCUCCUAGCACACCAGACAGGUAGGGAUUUUAAGCCGAUGAAUUAUUUGCUGCAAACAUUCUUUUCCACUUUGCUAAUUGUUCCCAUACCUGCUUGGGCGGCUGUAAAUGUGUUUGUGAUUACUGCAGAAGAGAGGGAUGCAGCUGUGCUCCAGCCCCAUGCAAACCCUUCACACCACGAGGCUGCAGUCAGCCCCUGUCCCACAGCACAGAGCUGUGCAGCUGCACAUCCACAGCCAGCUGCUGCUGCAGGGAAAGGGCCAGCCUCGCUAACGAGCCUCACACGGGAGCACAACAGGAGGGCAAACCACUCGUUUUUUUUGCUGACAUGGAGUUAUUCAGUUGCACUUCCCAGUCCCAUGGUACCUCGUAGCCAAAGCCACAAAGAAACCCCAAACUAACCUGAUGAACUGUUCCAAAUACUGGUAUGUUUUCAUUUCCCCUUCCUGAAAACAGUCAUAUAAAAAUCACAUGAAGCCCUCUAGCCUCAAGAAAGUGGAGCCCUCAACAGCGAGUAACUCACGGUUUCUAAAGAAGUGAAAGUUUCUGGGUUCUUUGGGGAAGAAUUUCACCAGCUCUGCUCUUACUGUGAUGCAGCUUAUCUAGAGGGAAAGAUACUGUACACAGAUACAGACAAACUGGUUUCCAACCCCAAAUCUGUGAUUCCAGACCAAGUGGGUAAGUGUUAACUGCAGUUUCCAUCCUUCAGCAGAGGACAUUCAGAGGACUGUCGUACCAAUGGGUGAGGAGACUACAGAAACCACACAGACAAGACCUAAAACCUUCAUAUGUGAGGCUAGGGACUUCAGCGUGACAUGUUUAUUUAACACGGAGCCAGGUUUGCUGUCUUACAGCAUGCAAUAGUUGAUACCUGAAGGACAGACUCUGGCAUGAGCAAUUUUGGUUAAGUAUAUUCUAUUUUCAAUGCCUGAGAUUCUCCUUUGGAGAAUAAUUAACCAUGCGAUAUAUGGUCUUAAACAGCCAGGAAAGAGAUUGAAAAUACAGAAAAUUGAAAGGAAAUUAUUUCAAACCAGAGUGCUUUGACUCUGGAAACUAAGUUAUAAAUGCUUUUGAGAACCUGCAUUUAUUACUUGCAAUAAAUAACUUUUCUUCCAAACACGCCUUUGUGUGAGAGACAGAUUAGCAGUGCAAGUGGAGCAUAUUUCUGCUGUGCAGAAGUUACUUAUUUUAGAAUAAUGGACGUCACAAAUUGGCCCUGCAUAGCAACACUCAUUGGAAAAAGAUCACAGCUCCACUUAACACAAAAGUGCAAUCUUGAAGCCCAUUGAAACUGAAGUGUCUUCACAGGGCAAGCACUGAAGUAGCGCCUCGUUUGCGUAAAGCUGGACAAUUGCUCCUCUUCCGUACACAAAAACCUGCUUAGAUAUCUGCUGUGCAGGGGGAAAGGCUCCUUAAUCACAUUACAGAAAAUGAACAUCCCAAGGUUAAGUCCUGGUGCUGUGGAGUACAUCGGUGCUUUAUAAAGUCAUCUGAACAGGAUUUAUACCCACAGAUCUCCACGCUGCAGUGAACAUCCGGAGCUUACCUUCAAACUCGGGGGGGGGAUGCUUCUUCCUUGUAGGAAAAGCAGUUCAGAAAAACAAAUUUAGAAUCAUAAGGUCUGAUUCUGUACCACAUUAAGCCUGUUUUACAGUGGUGUCACUGCAGUGAAAAUCAAUGGAGUGACCCACUGGUGAAAAACACCACAAAGUAAUGAUGAGAAUUAGCCCAGGCUCUUUAGAAGGCAGUUCAUGUAGCCAUUCCCUCAGGUUCUCUCCAAGUCCAUUAUGCUAGCUGUGGUGUGGCAAGUGCAUGUAGGAAAAAAAGGCUGUGAGAUGGCAAACCCAUCCACCCUUGUUCGCCUGUUUUAUGGCAUUCCUGUCUUUCUGCCUUUGCAUCAUAACUCUGCUUUCCUUCAAGGAAAAGAAAACGAUCAGACCUAGAUUUAUGCUCGCUAAGUGAGCUUGCUUUCCUUGCAGGUUUUUAUUAUUUUUUUUCUGCGAGAAGCAAUUACAGCUGGAUUUGUUCCACUGCUUCUUGCCAUCCUGGCAGGACAGCCGGGAGCACGGGCCAUAAGUGAGCGCAAGGAAUAAGUGGGAGCAGGGGAUGGCUGCUGAUUUACAGCGGCGGAGGCUCUGUCUCACGAGGCUGGCUAUCAGGCGUGGCACUUCAUUUCUGGAGCCUCCACUGACAGACGUGGAAAAAGUGCUCAAAAUACUGCAGACCCUCUCAAAGUCACCUUGAAAGCGUGUGAGCAAAAAGGGGGCAGCUCCUCCGCUGCCACAUGUCCAUCCCAGCGCCCGCUGCUCCCUCCCAGCUCCUCUGGGAUGCCCUGCUUGGGGCUGGAUCCAGCCCCACCAAAAAAUUCAUCCCAAAAUUUGUUAUGGGAUUGGGCACAACAAUCCCGAGCAGCAGGAGGGCAGGUUAGGUGCUGGGACUCUGCUUGGUGCCACCAGGCCCAGCUGGCUGUGGAGGAGGCUGGCAUGAGAGCUGGCAGCAGAGAAUUGCACGAGCUGGGAGCAAAGGAAAGCCUUGAUCAGCACAGAAUUGCUUAAAAGAGGGGGUCACUCCUGGGGCCAUGGCCCUGCAGAACUGCGAGGGGAAAGGAGACGGGACAACCAAGCAAAAUUGUGGGGAAGGGGCAGGGCAAAGACCAGGACAAAGCACUCUACGGACCCACAGCCCUGUGUUUGAGGGCCAUGCCCAUGCUGGAACAGCUGUGGGGCAGGGGCACGGGGCUUUUCCCUUAGAUUAAUGACUGAUUCAGAGGCCACGCAGCUGUCGUACCAUGCGCCCUGUUCCCAUUUUAAUUUUAGCAGCCUCACAUACCUCCUGGGCUACUUACAAGGUUAGAAACGGGGGAUUUCCAAGGGGAAGCUGCGGGCAGCCAGCCUGGCACAAGCCCUUUGCUCUGGAGAUGGCACAGCUACUUGGACAUCAGCAGCUGGAAGACAAAUUAAGGCUCUGCGAGGCGGCUGCGUGUCACCCGCAUGGGGCUUCUGGUUUGGUGUUGCUGUCCUUGGAGGUAAAGAUGGGGAGCCAUGACUUCUAGGAAAACGGCAAAGCAUGAAGAUUAACUGCAGGAAUUCACUCAGAGACAAAGUAAUGAGGUAGGGAGGAAACUGUGCCUGCAGGACUCCCCUGUUAAUCUGUGGCUGGAUGAAUUGCUCCUGACAGCGUGCUCGGCUUGUCCGCUGGCAGCGCGGUGGGCUGGAGUUUUUCCGCAGUGCCCAACCAAGUACGAGAUCCAUCGUUAGCUUGGGGGGACACGGGGAUGGAUAAGGGAAAGAUAUAAAUAAGGGACAUGCCGGGAAUGGAACAAGGUAAAAAGUUGGCUUAGUCAGUGUCGUAGCUAGAGGGAAAUACAGGUAAACAUGGCUUGCCCAUUUCUAAUUCAGACACUUCCUUCCUUCACACACGAGGAAGCAGCCAGAGGAGUGAGUUUGCCCACCUCCUUCCUUACCAUCAAGCCACACUGUAUUAUAUUUAGUUGAACAGUCAACAGCAGCACUGACCUUUAAAGCACUAUACGAUCCUUUGUAACCCUCCUGUUUAAUACAAGAGCCCUCUAUCCUAGCGACAGGCAGCUGGAGACACCGAGGCUGUGUCUGUAGCAGUGCAUCAGACGUGCCCAGGUCUGUCCUCUGGCACUGAGGCUGGCCGGGAUGGGAUGUUCC
Molecule: long non-coding RNA, 5123 nt
Filed under: Anas platyrhynchos (mallard)
Lineage: Eukaryota; Metazoa; Chordata; Aves; Anseriformes; Anatidae
Description: lncRNA (ENSAPLG00020000391.1)
Source: RNAcentral